GCGUUCUGCCAGUCACGCUGCCAAAGGCAGCUUGUGACCUCCCCUCACCCUGCGUCUCUGCGAGCUGCCCAAAGGCAGCUCCCUUCUCCUGCUCCCCGCCCGCGCUUUCUGCUGUGUCUCCUCACUUUUAUUCCUCUUCUAAGUGCCCUUUGCGCCUCCUCCAUCUUUAUUUUCUUAUUCUAUUUCCUCUCUCCCACCAGUCUGCCCGUGUCCUCCUCUUAUUCUUCUUUUAAUUUUUUUAUUCCUUCUUUUCUUUUUUUAUUCCUCCAUCAUUCCAUUCUUUAUUCCUUUUCUUUUGUUUUUGCCGUCCAACACUCUCCUAUAUUUCCCUUUUGUUAUUCUUCUCCAUCAUUCCAUGUCUCCCACUUCUUUGUCAUUUUUUUCAUUUUAUUCUCCCUUUUUCCAGCUGCAAAGCAGCUUCUUCUUUUUAUUUUUUAUUCUUUCCGUUUUCUCCCUCCUUUCACGCCUGCCUUCUUUCCCUCUCCCAAUUAUCCUGCUGUCCUCAUUAUUAUUUUUCCUUCUUUUUGUUCUCUUUUUGCUGAUCUCUCUUAGCUUUCUUUCUUCUCCUAGAAACACAAUAAAUCAAAAGUAUCAUAAAUACUUAAAACUUCCAACUAAAUUAGACAAGAAAAGAAAUAUAAAAGGAUGAAAUAUAUAGUUUAAAUAUUGGUUUAUCAUUUAUCGUCACAAUGGAUUAGCAAUAUUGUAAUUUAAAUUUGCUUUUGACGAAUUUAUUACAUAAAAUUUCACUUGUUCUAUUUUUAUUUUCUUUGCAUAACAAAUCCUAUAAACACAAAAAUAACGUAAAUAACUCAAAAAUAUAAGGAACUAACUAAGAAAAGACGAGUGAAUUCGAAGUAAAAAUAUAUAUAAAUAUGAUCUGAUCAAAUACCCCCACACUUAACUUUUGCUAGUCCUCGAGCAAAACCAAGAAAACUAGAAAAAGUACUAACAUGAAAAACAUUAGUUUCCCCCUAUGUGACCCUCAUAGAAUUUCAUUCAAGAAAACAAAUCAUCAAGAACCAUAGCUAGCAUCAAGGAACUAAUCCAAGUUCAUCUUCCUUAUUCAAAUAUUAGCAGUAAUCUUUGAAUCAUCCUUGAAGUGUAGUGUGUGAGAUAGCCAUACUAAUGCAAUUUCAAAAUUUUUAUAUUUUUAAAAUCAUCAUAUGCAAACUAGCGACAUUCUCACGGGAUAUGCACUCAAUCACACAUGUGUUUAGUUUUAAUGUGUUUCACUCAAAGAAUCAAAUGUGAAAUUUCUACCAUAAGCUUGCAUAAGGAUCACUUCUCCACAGUCAUAAUUGCAAAACUUAAAUCAAGAGGACUUUUAUUGGAUGUAAUGAGGCUUAGGGAUAGGGUUAUUGAAACGAAAGAAUAGGAAAACACAAGUUCCAAGCUACAUUGCAAGCAAUUCUUUUCUUUAGAUUUAUAAGAACUCAAGCUCUCCAAUGAUUCUUCUGACAUCUCCAACCACACCCUUAAACUGAAACUUUAAACUUUUUAUUUUCUUUGUAUACAAUCUUUCUUUUUACUUUUUUUUUUUUUUUUUUUUUUUUUUUUUUUUAAUCACAAACAUGAAAUACCCCCACACUUAUUCUUUUGCCAAACAUCUUCACAGUAUUUCACAAACGUAUCUCAUAAGACAAUUUCGCAUUGCUCGCUUGGAAAGGGUAAGGAAAAAUGUUUCAGGUAUAAGGGUAGACAUAUCUGAUGAUAAGAAAUAAAAGGCUCAACAUACACGGCUCAAAUUGGCAAUAUAAUGAUAUCAUUUUUCUUUGGGAAACAUGGUUAUUUGGGCCAUAGUGGUAAACCUAAUGCCUCUAUCAUUUCCAAAUUCAUGCAAUCAAUGACAAACAUUUCGAAAGAUCGUUACGCAAGUUCUAGAGAUGUAUAUCACAUAAGUUCAUCACACAUAAAAAAAUAGGAGUGUAUGAAAAAUGCACACACUUUCAAUAGGCUCAAAAACUCACAUAGGAUGUAUAUGGUCACUAAAUUCACAUAUGAAGCUUUAAGUCAUACUUUAGUUUCACAUUAACAAGGCUAUGUGCAUUUGGUUUUUCAAAGAUAGUCAAACAUGUACAAAACUAACAAGAGAAUAAGGAAUUUCACAAAACACAUGUUAACUAAGUUCUUGAUGAUCAUGGUUCGAAUUUGAUCCAAUUAUAUCAUUGAGUCGGGAAACUAACAAAAAUCUAAUUCAAAACAAUAAGGGAAACAAGACAAUUUUUUAUUUUUUAAAUUUUCCGAUUAUUUUUUUUUUUAUUUUUUUAUUUUUUUAUUUUUUUAUUUUUUAAAGAAAACAAAAAGCAACAACACAGAAACAAAUGAAAUUCUAGAGAUGUCUACCCCCACACUUAAACUUGACAUUGUCCCCAAUGUCAGAAAACACUAUAAUGCAAAAAAAAAAAAUAAAAAAAAAAUAAAUAAAUAAUAAGAAACAAAAUAACGCAAUUGGACUGAAAACUUCCCUAAUUUGCAGUAAAAUCAAGCGAUGACCCCCAAGCUAAAAUUCUGCAAUCAACUUCAAGGGUGGAAAUAACCAAAAGUUCCUGCAAAGAAAAGAAAUAAUUCAGUUAAGUAACGCAAGAAAAUAAAAUAAUAAUAAAAAAUAAAUAAAUAAAAAAAAUUGCAAACGAAAAAUUGAAAAUCACGAUAAAAGACAAUGAAAAGAACUAAUAAGUAGUCAUUGGUCGUGCUUGUUGAUUUUCCACAGCGUUCCUCUUGAACAGGGUGACACUUAGCUUUUUACUUGCAAGUGAUGAUUUUAUGCUAUUGUACGGCGAAGCUUUGCUCUUUGGUUAUGUUGCAGUUCCUUAUUUGUUCUCCAAGCAGAUGUGGCAGCUUCUCUAGUUCAGUUCGGACUCCUUGUGCUGGGUUGAUUGUACGAGCUGCAUUCUUCUCUGCUUGUUUCUUCAGCACGGCGGGCAGGCACGAGGUAGAGGUAUUGGUCUGUUUCUUUCUUCAAUCUUUCCAAGUGCCCACCUCUUGCUUUCUUUCUCCUUGUUCCUAGCUGAAUUGUCUCCACAUGCUUCGAGGUAUCAUUUUCACUUCCCUUACUGUCCCCCAGGCAGAUGUGGUAGACGAAGAGAAAGCAUAAAAUGAUGAAGAUGAGUACUCGAGAGCAAGGCUAGGUAAGCAAUCAGGAAGGGGUUCCAGGCAGUUGGCUCCAGAUCGGAAGAUUGAUACCAAAUGCUGGCUGAUUGCUCUCUUUCUCCUUGUCGGAAAACAAAGACAAGGAGAAGGACAUGGAGAAAGCAUGAUAUGAGAUACUCUUGCUUUCAACCUUUAUGAUAUGAAAUACUUUUGCUUUGAAUGGGUUGUUCGCAGGAGUAUCCCAAGGAAUGAGGAACACAGAGUGACUCGAGAGGAUUCUUUGGGAAUGCAUUUUCAGAUAUGAAGAAGUGUUGAAAGGGUGUGCUGAGAGAGUGUGCUUUUGCUGUGGAAGGCGAAGGUAGAAACUUAUAGGACUUGUCUUCACAACCGGAACUGUUCUCUCACUCAUUGUCGGCAGCCGGUGGAUGGAUGAAUAGUACAAAUUACGCGCUUUCUGACAAAGCUGCCCGUAAUUUCCGCAAAGCUGCCAGUUGCAUGUGACAAAUGCUGACUAGGCAGAGAGAGACAGAUGGUUGGAAUCGGCACUUCGACAGACUGCCCGUGAUUUUCGCAGAGCUGAGUUUGCGUGUGACGGGUGACAACACGUCUGGACGAAUUGAUCUUGCGAAAUCCGGGGUUCGGCUCGUGGUUUCUGAGCAAGCCCAACUUUUAAGAAAUGAACGCCUCUUUUGAGAAAAGAAUCCGACUUUUGAGAACGGAAACUCCUCUUUUGAGAAAAGAAUCCGGCUUUUGAGAAAGGUGCCCCGACUCUUCGAUUUGCGAAAGGACGCCUCUUCAAUUUCUGAGGAGCGCCUCUUUGAUUUCUUCUUUUUAUAGAGGCGUUAAUUUUGUUCCACAACACACUUGAGCUCCCUCCUGUAAACACCCCCCUCCUGUAAACUUCCAAAAUCUUAAUCAGUCCGACUCUCUUCUUUCUUCACCACCUUCAGAAAAUGUCUGGCCCUUCCGAUCGUCGUUUUGACUUGAACCGUGGUGAAGAGGCAGCUCCGCCUUCACCAGACAACAUAUGGCGCCCAUCUUUCAUAUCCCCUACCGGUCCUCUUACCGUUGGGGAUUCAGUGAUGAAAAAUGACAUGACUGCUGCGGUGGUGGCCCGGAACCUUGUCACCCCCAGAGAUAACAGACUGCUCGCUAGACGAUCUGAUGAAUUGGCGGUUAAGGAGUCUCUGGCUCUUAGCGUGCAGUGUGCCGGUUCCGUGUCCAACAUGGCCCAACGCCUAUUUGCCCGAACCCGUCACGUUGAAUCGCUGGUGGCUGAAAUACAAAGUCUCAAAGAGGAGAUUAAAGGACUCAAGCAUGAAAAUAAACAAUUGCACAAGCUCGCACACAGCUAUGCCACCAGCAUGAAGAGGAAGAUUGACCAGAUGCAGGACACCGAUGGUCAAAUUUUACUUGAUCAUCGGAGGUUUGUGGGUUUGUUCCAACAACAUCUGCCUUCGUCUUCUGGAGCGGCACCGCGUAGUGAAGCUCCAACUGAUCAACCUCUGCUGCCUCCUCCUUCUGUGGCCCCGCCGACUGCUGAAGCCCCGCCUACUACUGAAGCACCACCCGACCAAUGAAUACUAUUAGUUUACAUCAUUGUAAAAUAUUUGUACUUUUUUUUUUUUUUUAAUUUUUUUUUUUAUUUUUUUUUUUUUAUUUUUUUUUUUUUUUUAUGUAAAUUAAAGUAGAAAGACUUUGGUUAACCUUCCCCCAUACUUAAACUAAAUAACACAAACUCACAGAAAUCAAACAAAUAACAUAACUAACUAAACAAAACAAAAUGAAAGCAGUAAAGAUAAGGGUGUAAAAAUGCAAAUCUGAUUGGAUUAGCGAUUCCAAAGUCUCCCUUCGUUGAAUGCUUGGGUUGCCUCCCAAGAAGCGCUUGAUUUAACGUCUUUAGCCGGACGCAUCUUUCCUUUAAAUUUCCCUCAGCUCCAUUUGUGCCUAAAAUCAAAGAAAGAAAAAUAAAUCAAAUAUCAAAAGUAAAAUACACAAACACCAAUAUAAACAUAAACAAAAACAAAAAUAAAAUGAUUAGCAAAGUUACUAAUCCCCGGCAACGGCGCCAAAAUUUGAGGUGAAAAUUUACUUGACACACAAAUUAAACCCUCUUUUUAUCAAAUGUAGUAAAGUAUGUAAGUAGGGUAUCGUUCUAGGCCGGGGAUUAGGAGGGAUUGCUAAUCUAUUAAAUUAACUUAAAAAUAUUAAAUAAGACUCAAGGACACAAAACUAGGCUAAAAACUCUAAUAACUCGAAACACACUUAAAAUGACUCAAAAUAAUGAAAACAAUUAAAUUAAACACUAGGAACUGAAAUGGACGGAAAUUAAAUUAAAAGACUAACAAUAAAGAAAACUAACUAAAUAAUAUAAUUUAAUAAUGGAUGGGUGUUUGGUUUUGAUGAAAAGUAAAUUAAACUUAAUUAAAUUACAGAAUUGACAAAAACAUAAAAUUAAGGUAAAAUGAUAAAUGACGGACUAGCUAGAGGGUUCUUCUCCACACAUGUUAUACUUGCAUACAAAAUGAUUUCCAGUUGUUCUUUUAAUAAAUUGUAAAUUUCAAUACUCCAGAUUAACCGUGAACAGCACUUUUUUAAUCUUCAAGUUUUUCUUAAGUUAUUGAAUUGGACGGGAAAACGCAUACAACAAUUCAAAUUAUUCUCCAAAAGUCCCCUACGUGAAAAACACAAUAGAGAUACAAUCAAAGAUCAUUAAACUUUGUGAAAACUAUAAGCAUUGACGAGGCAUUCGUAACUAUGAAAAGCAUGAUACUCUUGCCAAGAAUUUACUUAACGUGAUUGUGACUAGCAACCUUUACUACUUGUGAAAAUAAGUUCAUAACGAUUAGGUGAAAUUCACUUAUAUUCUAGCAUCAAAUUCAUGCAUGUAAAUUAAGCGUGCACUCUCAACCAACAUACACAAAUCAGUUUUUAUACGAACGGAUAAGUAAAUUGAAUUCACAACUUAUAAAUCAUAACUGAAGGUAAUCAAUUCAUAUUACAAAUAUAUUCAUGGCUUUGAAUUAACCUCUAGCCAAAAUAAAAUUUAAUUACACAUUAUUAAAACAUUUAACCAAAAGUAAAAUAUAAGUUGGAACGUUUUAACCGAAAGAGGAGAAGCUUGCUGCUUCUGUUUCUGUCCGUGCUCUUUGAACCCCUGCUGAGGCUCACGCUGCUCCCGCCUUCUCUCUCUGUCCUCUCGCGCAAGGCAGCUCCUCGCAAGUCUUCGCGUUCUGCCAGUCACGCUGCCAAAGGCAGCUUGUGACCUCCCCUCACCCUGCGUCUCUGCGAGCUGCCCAAAGGCAGCUCCCUUCUCCUACUCCCCGCCCGCGCUUUCUGUUGUGUCUCCUCACUUUUAUUCCUCUUCUAAGUGCCCUUUGCGCCUCCUCCAUCUUUAUUUUCUUAUUCUAUUUCCUCUCUCCCACCAGUCUGCCCGUGUCCUCCUCUUAUUCUUCUUUUAAUUUUUUUAUUCCUUCUUUUCUUUUUUUUAUUCCUCCAUCAUUCCAUUCUUUAUUCCUUUUCUUUUGUUUUUGCCGUCCAACACUCUCCUAUAUUUCCCUUUUGUUAUUCUUCUCCAUCAUUCCAUGUCUCCCACUUCUUUGUCAUUUUUUUCAUUUUAUUCUCCCUUUUUCCAGCUGCAAAGCAGCUUCUUCUUUUUAUUUUUUAUUCUUUCCGUUUUCUCCCUCCUUUCACGCCUGCCUUCUUUCCCUCUCCCAAUUAUCCUGCUGUCCUCAUUAUUAUUUUUCCUUCUUUUUGUUCUCUUUUUGCUGAUCUCUCUUAGCUUUCUUUUUCUUCUCCUAGAAACACAAUAAAUCAAAAGUAUCAUAAAUACUUAAAACUUCCAACUAAAUUAGACAAGAAAAGAAAUAUAAAAGGAUGAAAUAUAUAGUUUAAAUAUUGGUUUAUCAUUUAUCGUCACAAUGGAUUAGCAAUAUUGUAAUUUAAAUUUGCUUUUGACGAAUUUAUUACAUAAAAUUUCACUUGUUCUAUUUUUAUUUUCUUUGCAUAACAAAUCCUAUAAACACAAAAAUAACGUAAAUAACUCAAAAAUAUAAGGAACUAACUAAGAAAAGACGAGUGAAUUCGAAGUAAAAAUAUAUAUAAAUAUGAU
Molecule: long non-coding RNA, 7204 nt
Filed under: Malus domestica (apple)
Lineage: Eukaryota; Viridiplantae; Streptophyta; Magnoliopsida; Rosales; Rosaceae
Description: long non-coding RNA (MDOM_LNC003741)
Source: RNAcentral